This 1126-nucleotide long non-coding RNA is filed under the name Homo sapiens (human). RNAcentral's name for it is "HSALNT0329329". Lineage: Eukaryota; Metazoa; Chordata; Mammalia; Primates; Hominidae. The record is from RNAcentral.
CUAAGAACAUGUUUCUUCUCUCCUUUCAGAAGUCAAGAAGGCUCCCAUUUCAUUAGCUUCUAAUAAGCCCUAUCUUUCUCAAAGUUAUUCCCUCCUCCCUACCUACAGGGCUGGCUAUUAGGAGGGAGGAAUGUGAUUCUUCUCUCACCAGGGUCUAGUCUUGCUCACUUGCCCAGAUGCCUGUUCCCAAAACUGGCUCACCAUGUUGUUGUCUGCUUCAGCUGGUUCAGCUGGUCUCACACUGAAACAUCCUACUUCUUUUCAGAACUUGGCGUUGACCUCCCAUAUGCUCAGAAGACUUACCAGACCUCUGGGUUGAGAGAUUAAGAUGUAUCUGCAAUGUGGACCCCAGCCUAGGCUGUGAAAUUUCCCUGACCUCUUUUCUCUUGAAAAACAACCAUAGUAGGACAACAAGAAAAAAACUCACUGGACUCAUACCAAUAAAUAAGCUAAUUAAGAAAUGUAAUGUGUUUAUGUAUAUCCAGCAAGUAGAGCAACCAGGGAAACUCAGGAUGAACCAGCCUUGUGACAUCAGACUACUCAUUUGAACAUCCUAUUGAGGCAAAUUUUGUUAUCCUCACCUUUGUGUGUGCUGUGUUUUUUGAUCUGUGGAUUUAGUUCCACCUUCAGGCCAAGGAUAGAUGAGGCAUAGCCAGGAGGGGGAAGAGAAAAAGAAUGCAGAGGUUAUGGUCUGGCAGUGUUAGGGUGAAGUAAAGCUAACCUUAGCUCAAGAUCUUUCUGACUUUGUCAAAUACCCUACAAAGUAUCAACUGAAGAUAGGCUGUCACCUCUGACCACAUGAUCCAAGCAAGCAGCUAGCUCACUCAGUCCCCUUAACCAGAACUAGUGAAUGUAUGAGACAAAUACGGCCCAUGGUAGGAGCGUUUAUGACUCUCUCAGCCCCUGAUGCUUCCCCUUAGGUGGGUUCUCUGUUACAUGGAGACUAAGAAAGAAUGACAGAGAUUUCAGUGAAUUAUGUGAAUAGACUUUAAGAGUUUAACGUCAGUACUCUUGAUAUUGUGACAUCCUAAUCUUUUUGUUUGUUUUCCUGACAGAAGAGUGUAUACCAAUUAAAGAAGAGUCAAAAUCCUCUACUUGCUCUUUUUCAGCUGCUUAAAAACCCACC